GCUCAACCGAGGAAGUGCUUCGAAAACUGGUAAACUUGAGUGCAGAAGAGGAAAGUGGAACUCCAUGUGUAGCGGUGGAAUGCGUAGAUAUAUGGAAGAACACCAGUGGCGAAGGCGGCUUUCUGGUCUGUAACUGACGCUGAGAUUCGAAAGCAUGGGUAGCAAACAGGAUUAGAUACCCUGGUAGUCCAUGCCGUAAACGAUGAGUGCUAAGUGUUGGAGGGUUUCCGCCCUUCAGUGCUGCAGCUAACGCAUUAAGCACUCCGCCUGGGGAGUACGAUCGCAAGAUUGAAACUCAAAGGAAUUGACGGGGGCCCGCACAAGCGGUGGAGCAUGUGGUUUAAUUCGAAGCAACGCGAAGAACCUUACCAGGUCUUGACACACCAUGAAAAGCUUAGAGAUAAGUCUUUCCCUUCGGGGACAUGGAUACAGGUGGUGCAUGGUUGUCGUCAGCUCGUGUCGUGAGAUGUUGGGUUAAGUCCCGCAACGAGCGCAACCCUUAUUAUCAGUUGCCAGCAUUCAGUUGGGCACUCUGGUGAGACUGCCGGUGAUAAACCGGAGGAAGGUGGGGACGACGUCAAAUCAUCAUGCCCCUUAUGACCUGGGCUACACACGUGCUACAAUGGUCGGUACAACG
RNAcentral lists this ribosomal RNA (637 nucleotides) under uncultured bacterium. RNAcentral's name for it is "bacterial SSU rRNA". It matches the Rfam family "Bacterial small subunit ribosomal RNA", at positions 607 to 1244 of the family's 1533-position model. The record is from RNAcentral.